Molecule: long non-coding RNA, 2589 nt
Organism: Cyprinus carpio carpio
Lineage: Eukaryota; Metazoa; Chordata; Actinopteri; Cypriniformes; Cyprinidae
Source: Ensembl
CUUAUGAAUUUCACUGAAUGUAUUUCAAUGGAACGUUUUUGAAUGACUCCCAAUCUAAAAGAAUGAAGUUUACUCCCAUUCGCAUGAAUGGUUUCCAUUGUUCUUUUUCAAUGUCACUUGUCUCAUAUUUUAGGAUUAAUGAACAAGUAAAUAGUUAAUAAUAAAGAUCCUGAAUUGCUGCAUAUGAGAGUCGCUGUUACACGUUGUUCUGUGAACAAAUAUAGAUGAUCUAUUCUAUUUAACAGGUCUCAGUCCUUCAGUGGGUCUGAAGUAAGCCGGUUUCUUGUUGUCCAAGAAAGAUGGAGUUGUUUUCGAAUAAUUCUGAUAAACCAGAAAGAAAUACAGCUUCUUUUGGUGCACUGCAUUUUAGCUUAGCAUUGAUUGGUCUGGAGAAGUUAAUGGAUCGGGAAUUUUCAUGCCCAUGUAACCCUGGGUUUAACAUGGUGCUGAUCAGCUUCAUCUUUCUUGGACCUGCUCUUCUAGCUCUGACUAUGAUGAUGUUCAUCCAAAGACCCUGCAGACGUUCAUCCUCUCAUUGUGCUGGGAUAUUUUUAUUUAGUCUGAUUCCAUCUGCAUUGUGGAUGUUUCUGUUGCUGUUUGAGGGUGAAUAUGUUGCGUGUGGCAUGGCACACUGGGAAGGAGAUUACAUCUUGGAUGAAGAGCUCCAGAUUAAAUGGUGCAAACCCACGGGAAUAAGGGACGGCAAAGUGAAUGGAACAAAACUGCUGGAACUGACCGAAAAAAUCAUUUUCUACUCAAGAUUUUCAUCUUUAGUUCUGCUCACAUUCCUCGCCGUUGUUGUCAUUGCUGCUGUGAGCUUUCAGGAUUGUAGAACAAGAUGUCUGGAGCAUCAGGAAAAGCGGGUUAAACCAGCACAGUUUCCAGAGUCAUCCAUCUACGGUUCAGAGGUUGAACUACAGCGAGCUGCCUGAACUCAUCAGGGUGAUCUGCUUACAAAUCCACCUAGAUUAAGACUGUAACAGGGAACAACUUGAAUCAUGGGUCAUUUCUAGGGUGACGUCUGCUGAUUUGACAAGCUAUCUGGAUUUACUGCAUUUGUACCUGAUGAAUUGUUUUCUAACACAUCUUUGUGGUUUGCUGUAUUGUCUUAGUGUAACCUUAUAUAUAUACGAUCAAUUGGAUUCAACCUCCUAGCUGUGUUAAAUAUAAAAUACAUAAUAAUAGUGUGGAUGUGAAAUAUAAUAAUUAAAAACAAUGUAAACCCAAAGGUUGUUUUAAAAUAUAUAAUGUCUUAAUGUUACUCACAAAGGAAUUUGACUCACUCAAAACUCAAAAUUGUACUUUCUAAAUGGUUUAAAAUGCUGUUUAAUAUAUUGAAUUAUUUUAAACUUGGCAAAAAACCAUUUGUAUCGUAUGUCUGUAGAAAAGAGUAAAAUUAAGGUGAAACUACAAUCUUUCACAGCUAUGACUGAAAUGCAUUUUAUAUUUUUUUUAUCAAUUUAACCUUCUCCUCUAGCAUUUUAAUUCACAUGGUAAACAAGUUUUAACAAACAUUAACAAAUCUAUAACACACACACACAACAUCAAACUGUUAACCAUCUCAAAGAAGUAAUAAACUCAUCAAAAAUGCAAAUGCAUUUCAGCUUUUUUCCAAGAGCAUGAAUUCUCAUGCUGCCUUUUCAAAUAGUAAAUUCUCAAAAUACUCAGGGUGGCAAUAGCUCCUGAAUUUAGAUAGAAAUCUGAAGCCUGUUGUUGCACAAUGUGAUGUUUAUACCUGUUUGCUUCUCCUCAGAUCCUGAAUGAUCAAAUCAGUAUUAGUAAUUGAGACUGACAGAAUCGACUGACCAGUCGUAAGUACUGGAAGAGUGAAAGUAAAAAUGUGGAAAAAAGGAAAAAGAACAAACAACACUUACCUGUUUGCGACACUAUUAACACCUGUAUGAGUAAGUUUAAAAAAAAACACUCUUUUACUCUGCUAUUGUAUCACCUAUACUGAAUGUUAAAUGAUUCUUAUUCUUUUCAUUGAAAACUGGCGGAAGAAACAACAGAUAUUUCAAACUUUAAAAGAGGGACAGCCGAAAUUACAUGAGACAGAAUUCGUGCAGCUUUGAAGAUGCAACUAAAAAGUUUUUUUUUAAAGCAGCAGUUAAACUGAUUUCCAAGAAAAUACCAUCAACUCUGUUACACUGAGAUUUAUGGUGGUGGGUUUGCAGGCAUUUACUGAUGUCCAGUUCUCAUGCCCAUGCAAAGCAAAGUCUGAGAAUCGUUUUCUAGAUUGAAUGUGUCAGAAGACAAUGACACAUUCAUUUUCAAAUGACCAAAUGCAAUGCAAUUGCUUUGUUUUUAACAUAUAGGCGUCAUAUAUAUGGCACGUCUUGUUACUUGUAAGGAUUUUGUCUUUGCGUUCUUUUGCUCUUUUUACUGUGUAAACAUUCUUAAAGAACAGGAAUAUAUGGUUACAUUUAAAGCAUUUCAUCUAGAUGAACAGCAACAGCAUAGCGAUCAUAUUUACUUUGUAAGUUAAUUUAUGUCCUUUUGCUUAUGCCAAAUUGUCAUUUUUCAGAAUGGAUUUGUCUUGCAAAUAAGGCAUGCAAAAAUGCAUUUAUCCAAAUGUUGCUUCAUUUUUAG